UAGUGCUGGCUCAAGCAUAUGCAUCACAAUUUGACCCGAAAAAUCAAUGAAGAGCUAUAUCACUUUCCCAGACUCAGAAACCACCACAUUCUGUGGAAGACGAGGGUGUGCCCAUAUAUUACGAUUUGGGAAAUUAAAUUUGCAUAGAUUUGAUCAUGUUAUAAAACGUGAGACGGAAACAAGAUUGGUCGUGUGCGCAACUCGCAGGAUGCAUGUGAAGUAAUGCCAUGCAUGUUGUUGAUACUUGAAAAAUUCGACAGAGUUGACCUCUGGAACGUGUUAUCUUUUCUCAGAGUAUCCGUGCGUUGGUUGCUGAAGUGGCCUCGCGCAUGCAUAUUGUCAAAAUUUAUGGAACCCAAACCCGUGUGCAGGUGUAUGGGCAUGGGAGAAGCAAAACAGAGCGUACGUACGACAAAUGCUCAAGUCUGGCACAGGAAAAAUAAUGUAGACACCAGAAAAAAGAAUCAUGACAGGCAUGAAAUUGCAUGAUUUGCAUGUAGAGCGUAUAAAAAUGAAUCUAUUUAUACAUAUCUUCUUUUCUACGUAUUUGUCCAUGAGUGGAAUUUGGCGGUUGGAUUGCAGGGUGUAUGAUGUCAGUGAGGAGUCGGAGUAGCGAGCACGAUGCAUUUGGUUGAUGCUUUGACCACGAGCCUGGACGUUUGUUGCGCGAAGCUACCCACCGUGUGUUGGGGGGGUUGACUAGGUUUUCACUGCACGACUUGGGCCCUCUGGUGCAAAGCAAAAAAGACAAAAACAAAUUACACGGUCAGUGUCUAGGUGAGAAAGACAUCAUUGACUGAUUGACAAGGUAAAACCAAGUUGCAGUAAUAAGGAUGGUAGUGGCAGAUGUAUAAAAGAAUUAGUAAAAGCAGGUAUCAGGUGUGGAUGAUUAAGUUAUACUGUAAUUAAGCAAGCAGGCAUCCAUCGGUAUGAACGGGACUGAUGAUUGCAUCGCAUGUAUGGUAUGAAUGUAUGCAUCAUGCAUGAGCACCGAGUAGUCGUGCGCCCCUCUCCUUGGCGCCUCCCCAGUCUCGACGCACCUCUUCGAUUCCACUCCAGUUGGCUGAUUGGAUGGAACCAUUCAAAUACAGCCAUGGGCGUGGACGCGCUUCCUCAUUACUACCUUUCUUCCAUUCCAUCGCCAUUGCCGCACCACAACAGAUGAGGGGGGAAAGGUAACCUUCCUUUGCUCUUGCUCUACAUUCCCAAUUCGCCUUCCUGAUUGCAUGCACCCUCUAUGUAAUCUACUGAUUCAUCGUUUUCCUUUCCUUACAAAGCAAAAUACUCUUGCCAUUUAUUCUCCCCCUUUUCCUGGAGGAAAAAAAAAAGAGAAACAACCUGCAUGCAUCCAUUUGAAUUUCGUUUUUGCGUCACCCAGGCUGCGUUUAUUGGUUGUUAUGAUCUGCCGAUUACGAUUUGAUUUCCUGUAUGCUGUGCUUUCCAAAUAUGUCUUGGCAAAAAUAAACCUACAGCGAGACUAAUAUCAAUGUUUUCCUUUGUUUCGUCAUAUUAUUCGUCCUGCAGAUCAGCCACAAGAUAACAGCAUAGCAACAACAUCACGAGGAAAAAGAAGAGUCAAAGUAAAGAGCACGUACGGAGGAGGCCAUGGGGUCCAAGGGAAUCCUCAAGAACAGCGGCUCCAGCCGCGUGCCGCCGCACGGCCCCAGCAAGCCACCGACAGCGCCAACAUCGGCGCCGCAGGUGGUCUUCG
Molecule: long non-coding RNA, 1711 nt
Filed under: Triticum aestivum (bread wheat)
Lineage: Eukaryota; Viridiplantae; Streptophyta; Magnoliopsida; Poales; Poaceae
Description: long non-coding RNA (TAES_LNC019347)
Source: RNAcentral